UCCUGGUUAACCCAGGCAGUCUCGCUAGAGUGCCCACCAUUACGUGCUGGCAACUAACGACAAGGGUUGCGCUCGUUGCGGGACUUAACCCAACACCUCACGGCACGAGCUGACGACAGCCAUGCAGCACCUGUUCAACUGUCUCUUACGAGAAAAUGUUAUCUCUAACACGAUCAAUUGUAUGUCAAGUCCAGGUAAGGUUCUUCGCGUUGCAUCGAAUUAAACCACAUGCUCCACUGCUUGUGCGGGUCCCCGUCAAUUCUUUUGAGUUUCACCCUUGCGAGCGUACUCCCCAGGCGGUAUACUUAUCGCGUUAGCUACGGCACAAGUGGGGUUGAGACCACUUACGCCAAGUAUACAUAGUUUACGGCAAGGACUAC
This 380-nucleotide unclassified non-coding RNA is filed under the name uncultured Chlamydiales bacterium. Its description in RNAcentral is "contains 16S-23S intergenic spacer region". The record is from RNAcentral. Lineage: Bacteria; Pseudomonadati; Chlamydiota; Chlamydiia; Chlamydiales.